RNAcentral lists this ribosomal RNA (110 nucleotides) under Cetraria odontella. Its description in RNAcentral is "5.8S ribosomal RNA". It matches the Rfam family "5.8S ribosomal RNA", at positions 3 to 112 of the family's 154-position model. From Rfam's summary of the family: 5.8S ribosomal RNA (5.8S rRNA) is a component of the large subunit of the eukaryotic ribosome. The record is from RNAcentral. Lineage: Eukaryota; Fungi; Ascomycota; Lecanoromycetes; Lecanorales; Parmeliaceae.
CUUUCAACAACGGAUCUCUUGGUUCCAGCAUCGAUGAAGAACGCAGCGAAAUGCGAUAACUAAUGUGAAUUGCAGAAUUCAGUGAAUCAUCGAGUCUUUGAACGCACAUU